Long non-coding RNA from Aegilops tauschii subsp. strangulata, 4548 nucleotides. RefSeq lists it as uncharacterized. NCBI's taxonomy places the organism in Eukaryota, Viridiplantae, Streptophyta, Magnoliopsida, Poales, Poaceae. The record is from RefSeq and is a predicted model, not a curated record.
UUCAGGUUCAGUCUUCGGGUUUUCUCAACUAUUCGGUCUUCAGAUGGCCAGCACUGAUUUCCCCCUCGCCCGUGCAAUCGGCCAUUAUCCAUUUACCCUACCGCUCCCGCACGGCCGCCCCCACCUUCUUCCUUCUUCGGUUCUCCCGGCGACACCGACUCGCCGGCCUGCUCCGUCUCCGUGACGGCGGGGAAGACAGAGGAGGGUGCCACCCUGCUGCGCCGGCCUGCGCCGCGACGCCGGAGAGGAGGAAACCCCGCACCACGCCGCGCCGCUCUGCCCCGUGACGACGGAGUGGAGGACACCACUGCGCUGCGCCGGCCUGCCCCGUGAUGCUGGUCGCCACCAACUGGAAACGAGCCUAGACUCGUGCCAAACGCCUGAACUGGAAGAAGAAGUUGGCAAUUCCAUAGAAAGUUCUCAGUGGUCGUUGACAAUGAGCUGUGAGAAUGUUGAGGAAGAGGUCGAAGACGAAGCUUAGAAGAAGAAAACGGAGUCCCAGAAGUAUAAAGCACCCAAGGAGUCCAAGAAAAUUAAGAAAAUGGCGCCAAGGAGCAACCCCAAUAAGAUCAAUGAUAACAGGCAGCAAACUCUUCAAGCUACAACACUACAACAGAUGAGGAGGACGGCAGUAAUUAUGCAAUUGUUGCUGGGAGGUUUGAUCCUGAGAAGAUUAGAGAUGCUUUUGCUGAAAUGAUAAUUAUGGAUGUGCUCCGAUUUGCAUUUUCCGAGAAAUCAGGAUUUAGAGAGUUUCCCAAUGAAUCUUGUGAUAGGGUCAGCCUAACAACCAAAACCUGGACAUCUAUGCAACAGCAGAGCUAUAUUUGUGUUAAGGCUCAUUUCCUUGACACCGGUUGGAGGCUACAUAAGAGGAUUAUUGGGUUCUUCUUGGUGUGUGGUCAUAAGGGGGAAGACAUUGGGAAUGACAUCGAGACGUGUUUGGUGGAUUGGGGUUUUAGAGAAAGCGUUCACAAUAACCGUUGACAAUGCAUCAGCAGACGAUGGUGCUGUAAGUUACAUGAGGAGGGCCAUGAACGAUGCUAAAACUAGCAUAGCAAAAGGGCAAUAUGUUCACAUGAGAUGUGCAGCCCAUGCCAUAAACAUGAUAGUUUUGGAUUGCCCAAGAGAGUUGGAUAUCCCAGUGCAACGAGUCCGUGCUGCUGUCUGUUUAAUCAGAAAAUUUUUAUCUGGAAUUACUCAAUUUAAGUAUGCUGACUUGGAGAAGGUGGACAUCAAAGCAUUCUUAUCGCUUGUUGUAUGCAUCAGAUGGAACUCCACAUACCUAAUGUUGAAAGCUGCAGCCACAUAUCAGAAGGUGUUUGAUAGAAUUACUUCAAGAAAUGAGUGGCCUCAACGUAUCCGAGACUAGCUCUAGUAAUAACAAUUCCAUCACCGUUGAUCAUUCCACAUCAUAAAGAUGGUUUAUAGAGAUUGGAGCCUUGGGAAAAUCUUGCCGUCUCUCUGAUGAGUUGGAGCGUGGUGGUGCAAAACUGCAAAUCUUGUUGUCUUGUUUGCUUCAAGCGAUUGUGUCAUUAUUUUAUUUUGGCUAUGCUUCCAGGCAAGAACAUCUAUCAGUCAGUCAAUGAUAUGAAAUCGUUAUCUGUGUCAUGUUGCUGUGCUGCUGCUACUAUGAACUGAGGGCAGCAGUAAUUGUGCACUCGUUGAUGGGAGGUUGAUCCUGAGAAGAUGAGAGAUGCUUUUGCUGAAAUGAUAAUUAUGGAUGGGCUCCCAUUUGCAUUUUCCGAGAAACCAGGAUUUACAAAGUUAAUGUCAAAGGCACGUCCUCGCUUUACUGUGCCAUCUAGGAGAACCACUAUCAGUUAUUGUGUCCACAUUUACUAUUGUGAGAAAGUGAAACUGAAAAAGUUCUUCAAAGAAUCUUGUGAUAGGGUCAGCCUAACAACCGACACCUGGACAUCUAUGCAACAGCAGAGCUAUAUCUGUGUUACGGCUCAUUUCCUUGACACUGACUGGAAGCUACAUAAGCGGAUUAUUGGGUUCUUCUUGGUGGGUGGUCGUAAGGGGGAAGACAUUGAGAAGGACAUCAAGAGGUGUUUGCUUGAUUCGGGUUUAGAGAAAGUGUUCUCCAUAACUGUUGACAAUGCAUCAGCAAAUGAUGGCACUAUAAGUAAAUGAGGAGGGUCAUGAACAAUGCUAAAACCAGCAUAGCAGAAGGACAAUAUAUUCACAUGAGAUGUGCAGUCCAUGUCAUCAACUUGUAGUUUCAGAUUGCCUAAGAGAGUUGGACAUCUCAAUGCAGCGAGCCCGUGCUGUUGUCCGUUUUAUCAGAAAUUCUCCAUCAAGAAUUCACUCGAUUUAAAAGGUGUGCUUACUUGGAAAAGGAGGAGAGCAAAACCAUCUUACCACUUGAUAUAUGCACAAAAUGGAACUCCACAUACCUAAUAUUGAAAACUGCAGCCACAUAUGAGAAAUUUGGAAAAAGAUUAGUGAAACACUUAAUGACUUGUUUAAGAUGUAUGCUCCAAGUGAGAAGAAGGAAAUGGAAUCCAAUGUUGUGCAAGGCACGAGCUUGAUGAGGUCCCUAAUUGCCAAGAGGAUGAGAAUGAACAACUGUGUGGUCGGCCCUACCAAGUCUGAGCUUGAGAAAUAUCUUGCUGAGGAGACUGGCGCAAACACCACCAAAUUUCAUAUUCUCAUUUACACCCUUCAUGGUCCAAGCACUCAUUUGUACUCAUGACUGGACGCGGCAAUCAGCUCCUGUAAAUGAUGAAGAGAAUACAGAACAGUUGACCAAACUAGAGGAAGGCAUGAAAAUGGGUUCAUUUGGUGCUUUGUUUCCCUAGUUCCUUGCUGAAUUUAACUGCUUACUGGUUACUCUAUUUUAAUCUCACAAUUAUUACAAGAAAUGAGUGGUCUCAAUGUAUCCGAGACAAGCUCUAGUAAUAAUAAUUCCAUCACCAUUCAUGCAUGAUUCCACACCAUAAAUAUGGUUUACAGAGAUUGGAGCCUUGGAAAAAUCUUUCCAUCUCACUGAUGAGUUGGAUUGUGGUGGUGCAAAACUGCAAAGCUUGUUGUCUUGUUCGGUUCAUUAUUUUAUUUUGGUCUAUGCUUCCAUGCCGGAACAUCUAUCAGUCAGUCAAUGAUAUGAGCUCAAGUUAUCUGCGUUGUGUAGCUGUGUGGCUGCUACUAUGAACUGUAAGCUACUAUCUAUUUGGCUUCAAGUUAUGCAACCUCACAACUUUUUAUGAUUCAAACAGUAAAAAAUAGCUUCACCUUCAGGAAAUUCUACCAAAAACACCAAAGUUGAAUCAUCUCAGCAUUGUUGGGGAAAACAGCAAUGGCUAAGAGACUUUGUGGUGUUAUAGAAUACUUUCAAUUUCUCUGUUAUCACGUUCUUAAUUUCUUCUCACAGACAGGGCCAAGAGACUAAUGGUUCAAAUGCCUCCCAUAGAGGCAAAAGCUGAACCUUCUACCUCACCAAAUCAUUUGGUAUAUUCAGGGAUUAUCAUGGACAUAUGGACUCAUGGAGUAGAAAAGGACUCAUGUAGUAGAAAAGCAGAAACAUCUGGUUUCUAGCUCAUAGGCAUAUUUUUUAGAAAUGCAUGAUCUAGGUAAUCACAAACAAAUUGACUUUAGUUAAAUCCAUCCCGUAGGAUCUUAUUAAUUAAUACCUCCUUCGGUACAAAAUAUAUUGCACCUCUUUUACACUGCAUGAUAUCAAAACAACACUGAGCUUAUAUAUUCGUGAUGAAGGCUUCAGUCAUACUAUGUUACUAAAAAAAAUCAUAAUUCCUGAUGAAAGCAAUUUUUAGGAUAAAAUCUAGUCUUAUAACUUCGCCCAUGUGUUCAGUAUAAAGUCUCCUUUGGCCAAACUGAAGAAAUUAGACUGCAAACAACACAGACAAUUUGGUUCAAUUAUUAUACAAAGAAUUUGUCAAUCUUUGCUGCAGAAGCAGAACUUGUGACAUAAACUAAACUAAACCAGACACCGCAAGGAAUUUGUUUUCCAGAUCAUAAUAAUUACAUAAACACAAGGAAAACUUCAGGCGUCAGGCACUCCACGAAAUCACAACUCAGGCUACUAGCAAGCGAUUCAGGGCGCGUUGUGACACGACAGUGUAAAACUUCAGUGGUUCUGCUGAAAGCGGUUCAUUAAGUGAAUCUCCUCGGCAAUUCCCGGGAACCUUUUGGUUGUCCACUGGAACCAACCAAGUGAUCACUUCGUGGAUCCAGGACCCAUGACCGCGCCCGGCGGGGACACGAGCUGGGGCCUCCAUGGUAUGUGUGUAGGAGAAGCAGCCUCGCAGGUCGCUGACGGAACAACUGAAGAGGGGAGCGCUGCAGCGGUGGUGUGAGUGAAAGCGGCAUAAAAAGCGGAUCUUGGAUACGAUGCGACGCUGGCGUUUGCAGACGAGGGAGACAUGGGGGAGUGAGGACGGCUGCUGGAGGAGGCGGAGGAGAUUCUCAGAGAGUAGGUUUUCAUUGUCAGCGGCACCAUCACCCUCGACAUCUUGCCCUCCUCCCUCGACAUUUUGCCCUCCUCACAGCUCGUGCAGCAGGGGGAAAUGGUCAAGUGAUCAGCAUCGU